UUGAAAGAGGAGAGUAAUGAU
Molecule: non-coding RNA, 21 nt
Filed under: Caenorhabditis elegans
Lineage: Eukaryota; Metazoa; Nematoda; Chromadorea; Rhabditida; Rhabditidae
Source: RNAcentral